CUCUCCACCAGUGCCCCCCACAGUUCACCUGGUCCUCACACAGGCCCUGCCCCACAGAGGCGACACCCUCACCUGUCUGUAGAGGAUCAAAGCACCCAGUCAAUGAAGCCGACAAGUGUGGCAGCCCUCUGGGCUAACAGGCCAGGGGAAGAACCUCAAUGGUGUCUUCUGGGGUCUGUGUCAGCACGCCUGGACCAGGUCAGAACAAUGGCCCCCACCGAUGUCUCAGUCUCCAGAGAGGACCCUCCUCUCACCAAGAUGCCCCCAGAGCCCACCAGGUAACACAUGCUGUGAGGAGGCGGCCCCGGGAGUCACAGAACUGCUGCAGAUCCCUGGAGGUCAAGGGCUGCAAGGGACUGGAGUUGCCAUCAGAGACCCACGGAUCUUGCUCUUGGCUGUAUUGUGGGGAAGAACACGUCUGUGUCACUGUUUCCAAAGGAAACUCAGCUAGAUUCAAGCUCACGCAGGAAGAGCGCUGAGUGAGAGGCAGCCGGCCACAGGCCCCGUGCUACUUGCAGCAUUUUUACUCGCCUUGUUUCCUCAUCACGGCAAUUUGACGAGGUUGCUUCGGUUCACAUUGUCUAUGGUGAGUGACUGAGAUGACGUCCCUGAGGCCGCCCAGCUGGAAACAGCCACGAGUCAAGCCCAGGCCUGGUUCCAAGUUCAGCUCUUCCUCAUGUGGAAAGAACCGUUUCACCCCAGCUGCUGGGGCACCCGCCCUCUGCUUCUUCACUUGGUGGUGUUUUUAUUUAUGAACAGCCUUAAAGCCUUUUCGUAAGCUAGUUAUAUAUAAAUCACACGAAAAUGAAAUGUUCCCUCAAGAAACAGGUGACCUGGCUGAGUCCACGACGUAACUAG
This 858-nucleotide long non-coding RNA is filed under the name Equus asinus (donkey). RNAcentral describes it as "lncRNA (ENSEASG00005037051.1)". The record is from RNAcentral. Lineage: Eukaryota; Metazoa; Chordata; Mammalia; Perissodactyla; Equidae.